RNAcentral lists this long non-coding RNA (623 nucleotides) under Hordeum vulgare. RNAcentral's name for it is "long non-coding RNA (HVUL_LNC014837)". Lineage: Eukaryota; Viridiplantae; Streptophyta; Magnoliopsida; Poales; Poaceae. The record is from RNAcentral.
GAAAAAGCUACUAAUGUUGCCUGGAAAAAGCAUGGUAACUAUUGACAAGAAUAAGAUAACCUUGACACUCCAUGGAAACUACAAGACCGAGGAUUCUCAUAAUGAUAAAAAUAUGAUGAGAGAAAAGGAGCCAAGAAGCAGCAAUGAUAACACAAAUAAAUAUCCGCCGUUCACACGACUGUAAACCCCGAACCGGUGACUACAUCUAGUUCAUCAAUCAACUAGAAAAAUAAAAGCAGCUGCAACAUCUCUAAUUAGCUAAAAGAAAGGCUCCUAGUUCGCCAUCAAUCAAUUGGAAAAUAAAAAAAGCAUCAGCACAGACUUGCAUAGAUAGACAUUAGCACAUCAUAGAAGGUUGGGAUAAACUUGCAUAAGUAGCCAGUAGCGAUAACCUAAAACUUGCACAUAGUCUCUGAACAGAAGAAGCACGCGGCAAUAUAAAGCCUGAAAAUAUGCAUAUAGAAGAAAAGAACAAGCCCAAGCCACGUUGUCGCCUCCCUGUGGACUGUGGUACGACCCCUUCCACGAGCCCGGCACCUGAAAGAAACUUCGGCUCGCCUCUAUGCGCCUACCCGCGUCCCGCCAUGGUCACUGCACUCUACUGAAGCAUCUCCAUCCUCUCC